AUGAGGAAGCAUGACACUUUGGCCAUCCCGGCCCCGCCGUCGAAUCUGCAAGAGGAUUUUGCAAGGAUGUUGAAGGACGAGGAAGGCGCGGAUGUAACGUUCAUCGUGGGUGACAAAUCGUUCCGUGCUCAUAGACACGUGCUGGCGGCACGAUCACCGGCCUUCAGGGCAGAGCUUUUGGACCCGACGAAGGAGGACCCUACAAAACCCGUCAAGGUUGAUGACAUGGACCCCGUCAUCUUCGAGGCGCUUCUUUAUUUCAUGUACACGGAUACGCUCCCACAUGGUUGUGAUCUUGAGAAAAACGCGACGCUGCAACAUUUGUUCGUUGUCGGAGUUCGAUAUGGCCUGGACAGGCUAGCGACGAUGUGCGAAGGGAAACUAUGCCAAAACAUAAACGAGCAAACAGUGGCAGCCGCCCUAACUUUGGCAGAGUGGUAUGACCGCGUCCUUCUCAAAAAUGCUUGCAUCGCAUUUGUGUCGUCGCAGGAUGUGCUCGACGCCAUGAAGGAGACCAAUGGAUUCAAGCACCUCAUGACACGCUAUCCGGGGGUGAUGGUGGAUAUUUUGAAACAGAAUCUGCCGUCGUCAAUAGGGGUACGUGUAAUUUAUGGUAGAAUUGUCUUUAAAUAA
Molecule: ribosomal RNA, 633 nt
Filed under: Triticum aestivum (bread wheat)
Lineage: Eukaryota; Viridiplantae; Streptophyta; Magnoliopsida; Poales; Poaceae
Description: partial small subunit ribosomal RNA
Source: RNAcentral